GUGUGUGUGUGUGUGUGUGUGUGUACGUAAAGCUGUGAGUUCACCUGAUUCCGAGAAACAUCCACUGGAGGAGUGACCCGCAUAUCGACUCGGGCCGCGCUCCUGCGAAAGUGUGCGAAGCAGCGAGUGUCAUGUGACUGUCACCCCUCUGUCCACACCGCAUGACCGAGUAAACGGAAGUCCUAUAGAAACAGCGCUCUCGCCGGGGAUUCUGGACUUCACACUCCUGUGUGUCACUGUCUUAUGCACUCACUCCGGACUCAGCAGGAGGGCUGCCCCUCCUCUCCCGCCACCUGCGGAUUAAACAAGCUGACGUGAAUGUGCUGAAAUCAUAAGCCAAGAUGCACCUCAGGCUCCCAGACUGGCCGGUCGGACAGACGGACGGACGGCACGUUCACUCCCAGGUGCUGCCAUUCACAGCGACGCCCGUGCUCCGCGUCAGGUGACCUCUCACGCCUUCCCGUCCCCACGGGUUCUGGGAAACCGAGUCAGAGGGCAGCUUCCUGUGCCCACCACACACACACACACACACACACACAGUGUGUCUGGUGAGCUCCGGGCAUUAACACGACUCCUGGGAGAGAACAUUCGUUUCUUUUCUUCUUUUCAAAGCUGCUGCGCCGGUUUCCCUCCCACCCGCAGUGGGCGGGUCGCCUGACCUCCUCUGCACUUGUGAUGUCAGCUUUGUUAUUUCUGCCCAUCCGGUGGGUGUGUAAUGACACCUUGUGUUUUAACUGAUGUCUCCCUGGUCCCUGGUUCCUGGUGGGAUUGACCAUUUUUUUCAGAUGUUCACUGGCUAUUCAGGCUUUAUGGGUUUUGUUUGUUUUUAUUAUUUCUGACCCUCUCCUGAGGUUAUGUUUUUAUUCAUUUUUUAAAAUAUAUUGUUAGUUAGUUAAUCCUCACCUGAGGAUGUUACUACAAACAGCAUUUUUAAAAACCCCCUCAUUCUACCAUAACCCUUUAAUAUUCUAAACUAAGAUUCCAAUUCAAGAUUGAAAUUCAUCUAAUUCAAAACCAGGGACUAAUUUUCAUCGAAGGCCCACUCCAACCUAACUUAUUAAAAAAAAAAAAAAAAA
This is a long non-coding RNA of Myotis myotis, 1076 nucleotides long. RefSeq lists it as uncharacterized. The record is from RefSeq and is a predicted model, not a curated record. NCBI's taxonomy places the organism in Eukaryota, Metazoa, Chordata, Mammalia, Chiroptera, Vespertilionidae. The transcript has 2 exons.